RNAcentral lists this ribosomal RNA (465 nucleotides) under uncultured Klebsiella sp. Its description in RNAcentral is "bacterial SSU rRNA". It matches the Rfam family "Bacterial small subunit ribosomal RNA", at positions 338 to 795 of the family's 1533-position model. Lineage: Bacteria; Pseudomonadati; Pseudomonadota; Gammaproteobacteria; Enterobacterales; Enterobacteriaceae. The record is from RNAcentral.
CCUACGGGUGGCAGCAGUGGGGAAUAUUGCACAAUGGGCGCAGGCCUGAUGCAGCCAUGCCGCGUGUGUGAAGAAGGCCUUCGGGUUGUAAAGCACUUUCAGCGGGGAGGAAGGCGUUAAGGUUAAUAACCUUGUCGAUUGACGUUACCCGCAGAAGAAGCACCGGCUAACUCCGUGCCAGCAGCCGCGGUAAUACGGAGGGUGCAAGCGUUAAUCGGAAUUACUGGGCGUAAAGCGCACGCAGGCGGUCUGUCAAGUCGGAUGUGAAAUCCCCGGGCUCAACCUGGGAACUGCAUUCGAAACUGGCAGGCUAGAGUCUUGUAGAGGGGGGUAGAAUUCCAGGUGUAGCGGUGAAAUGCGUAGAGAUCUGGAGGAAUACCGGUGGCGAAGGCGGCCCCCUGGACAAAGACUGACGCUCAGGUGCGAAAGCGUGGGGAGCAAACAGGAUUAGAUACCCGAGUAGUC